UACGAAGGGGGCUAGCGUUGCUCGGAAUCACUGGGCGUAAAGGGUGCGUAGGCGGGGUUUUAAGUCAGAGGUGAAAUCCUGGAGCUCAACUCCAGAACUGCCUUUGAUACUGAGAAUCUUGAGUAUGGGAGAGGUGAGUGGAACUGCGAGUGUAGAGGUGAAAUUCGUAGAUAUUCGCAAGAACACCAGUGGCGAAGGCGGCUCACUGGCCCAUAACUGACGCUGAGGCACGAAAGCGUGGGGAGCAAACAGG
RNAcentral lists this ribosomal RNA (253 nucleotides) under uncultured bacterium. RNAcentral describes it as "partial 16S ribosomal RNA". It matches the Rfam family "Bacterial small subunit ribosomal RNA", at positions 524 to 776 of the family's 1533-position model. The record is from RNAcentral.